UACCCGCUGAAUUUAAGCAUAUAACUAAGCGGAGGAAAAGAAACCAAAUGGGAUUCCCCUAGUAACGGCGAGUGAACAGGGAACAGCUCAGCGCCAAGUCCUGACACUUGACGUGUUCAGGAGAUGCGGCGUUUAUGUGUUGGUGCAUCGUACACUGUUUCGUAUCUCAAGUUCCUUUGACAGGGGCUCCCAGAGUGGGUGCUAGGCCCAUAGAGAUUGCGAGACUGGUGUACGCAAACCAUCGCAUUUUAGAGUCAGGUUGCUUGAGAGUGCAGCCUAAAGCAGGUGGUAAACUCCAUCUAAGGCUAAAUAUUACAGCGAGACCGAUAGCAAACAAGUACCGUGAGGGAAAGUUGCAAAGAACUUUGAAGAGAGAGUUCAAAAGGACGUGAAACCACUAACAGGCAAACGGGUGGAACCACGAAGUGUGCCUGGGAGGCGAUUCAGUUAUCAAUAUUCCAGUUGGCUGCGGAUUGGGUUGUGGUGGUCUUUUUCAUCUGCCCGUCUGUAGUCUACAAUUGGUGUUGGCAAUGCAUUUCGUCCUUCCAGUGCUAAAGCCACGUCCGAUUAGGUGGCUGGAACGGCCGUAGAGGGUGAUCCAACGAAGGUGGCCGUCUUGCGCUUGCGCUUGGCGGUGUUAUAGCGUUGUGGUCCGUGCCGUUGCCUAGCGUGCUGAUCGGUGCAAGUUCUCCUUUUGGAGUUUUGCUAGUAAUGGGCUGGUGCGCUUGUAGCGUCUUGGCGGCUGCGUUAGUUUGGCCUUUACAUCCUCCGGGUCUGUAAAGACAGAUUAGCGUCGGUUGUCAAUGUGUUGCUUGCGUGAUUGGCUUGUGCAAACGGUGGUGCGAGUAGGUCGGUCUCCACCCGACCCGUCUUGAAACACGGACCAAGGAG
Molecule: ribosomal RNA, 891 nt
Filed under: Rhizoglyphus echinopus
Lineage: Eukaryota; Metazoa; Arthropoda; Arachnida; Sarcoptiformes; Acaridae
Description: eukaryotic LSU rRNA
Rfam family: Eukaryotic large subunit ribosomal RNA
Source: RNAcentral